Molecule: ribosomal RNA, 2158 nt
Filed under: human gut metagenome
Description: bacterial LSU rRNA
Rfam family: Bacterial large subunit ribosomal RNA
Source: RNAcentral
CCGUGAAGGUAGAGCACUGAAUAUGCGAUGGCCGCAUCCCGCGGUACUGAGCAUAAUCAAACUCCGAAUGUCACGGUGUCAUCUGCGGCAGUCAGACGGCGAGUGAUAAGGUCCGUCGUCAAGAGGGAAACAGCCCAGACCAUCAGCUAAGGUCCCAAAGUGCAUGCUAAGUGGAAAAGGAAGUGGAGACGUGCAGACAACUAGGAGGUUGGCUCAGAAGCAGCCAUCCUUGAAAGAGUGCGUAACAGCUCACUGGUCUAGUGGUUCCGCGCCGACAAUGUAGCGGGGCUCAAGCACACCACCGAAGACGCGGCAGCAAUCUUCAUGGUUGCUGGGUAGGAGAGCGUCCUGCGAGGGGCGAAGCGGCCGGGUAACCGUGCCGUGGACUUCGUGGGAGUGAGAAUGCAGACAUGAGUAGCGAGAGACGGGUGAGGAUCCCGUCCGCUGGAUGACCAAGGGUUCCGGGGCCACGUUCGUCGUCCCCGGGUGAGUCGGGUCCUAAGGCGAGGCCGACAGGCGUAGUCGAAUGGAUGAACGGGUGGAUAUUCCCGUACCGACCAUGGACCGGCAAAACCGAGACGGUGAGUACUAACCUCCGCCUCGUGGUGGUUCCUUCCUUCGGGUUGGUAUCGCCGCGUGGUGUUGGGACUGUAGCCGCAGUAGGUCAGCGCAGGGGUGACACGGAAUGGGAGCCGGCCGCGGAGGUGGUUUUCCGUGGUCAAGCACGCAGCCAGUCAUGUAGGCAAAUCCGCAUGGCGCGCAUGGCGAGGUGUGAUGAUGGGAGCCGUUAUGGCUCGAUAUCCGGUUGUCCAGGCCGUCGAGAAAAGCCUCGGCGUGAGGGCCAUGGCCGCCCGUACCCCAAACCGACACUGGUGGUCAGGUAGAGAAUACCAAGGCGAUCGAGCGAAUCCUGGUCAAGGAACUCGGCAAAUCACUCCCGUGCCUUCGGUAUAAGGGAGACCCACUGGGGUGAAGGACCUUGCGUCCGGAGCUUUGGUGGGUGGCACAGACCAGGGGGUAGCGACUGUUUACCAAAAACACAGGUGCAUGCGAAGGCGAAAGCCGCUGUAUAUGCACUGACGCCUGCCCGGUGCCGGAAGGUUAAGAGGAUCCGUCAAUCCCUUCGGGGACGAAGCGGUGAAUUCAAGCCCCGGUAAACGGCGGUGGUAACUAUAACCAUCCUAAGGUAGCGAAAUUCCUUGUCGGGUAAGUUCCGACCUGCACGAAUGGCGUAACGACUUCCCCACUGUCUCGACCAGGAGCUCGGCGAAAUUGCAGUACGAGUAAAGAUGCUCGUUAAGCGCAGAAGGACGAAAAGACCCCGGGACCUUUACUAUACCUUGGUAUUGGCGUUAGGCGCGGAUUGUGUAGCAUAGGCGGGAGGCUUCGAAGCGGGUGCGCCAGCAUUCGUGGAGCCGCAAGGUGAAAUACCGCUCUGUUCUCGUUUGACGUCUAACCUCGACAAGUCAUCCUUGUCAGGGACAGUGCCUGGCGGGUAGUUCAACUGGGGCGGUUGCCUCCCAAAGAGUAACGGAGGCGCUCAAAGGUCCGCUCAGCCCGGUUGGCAAUCGGGUGUCGAGUGUAAUCGCACAAGCGGGCUUGACUGCGAGGACGACGGUCCGAGCAGGGACGAAAGUCGGAGAUAGUGAUCCGGUGCCGGCGCACGGGCGCGGCAUCGCUCAACGGAUAAAAGGUACCCCGGGGAUAACAGGCUGAUCAUUCCCAAGAGUCCAUAUCGACGGGAUGGUUUGGCACCUCGAUGUCGGCUCGUCGCAUCCUGGGGCUGGAGCAGGUCCCAAGGGUUCGGCUGUUCGCCGAUUAAAGCGGCACGCGAGCUGGGUUCAGAACGUCGUGAGACAGUUUGGUCUCUAUCCUCUGCGCUCGUUGGAAUCCUGAGGAGGCCUGCCCAUAGUACGAGAGGACCUGGGUGGACGAACCUCUGGUAUGCCGGUUGUCGCGCCAGCGGCACGGCCGGUUGGCUACGUUCGGGAGGGAUAACCGCUGAAAGCAUCUAAGCGGGAAGCCUGCUCCAAGAUUAGGAUUCCGUACGGUCUUGAACCGUUGUAGCCCGCAUGUUGAACACGUGUUUGAUAGGCCGGAGGUGGAAGCCCCGUGAGGGGUGGAGCCGACCGGUACUAACGGGCGAUGGCGACAUAAC